GGGGAUUAGUGGCGAACGGGUGAGUAACACGUGAGUAACCUGCCCUUAACUCUGGGAUAAGCCUUGGAAACGGGGUCUAAUACUGGAUAUUGACUUUACCUCGCAUGGGGUUUUGUUGAAAGAUUUAUUGGUUUUGGAUGGACUCGCGGCCUAUCAGCUUGUUGGUGAGGUAAUGGCUCACCAAGGCGACGACGGGUAGCCGGCCUGAGAGGGUGACCGGCCACACUGGGACUGAGACACGGCCCAGACUCCUACGGGAGGCAGCAGUGGGGAAUAUUGCACAAUGGGCGAAAGCCUGAUGCAGCGACGCCGCGUGAGGGAUGACGGCCUUCGGGUUGUAAACCUCUUUCAGUAGGGAACAAGGCCAGCAUUUUUGUUGGUUGAGGGUACUUGCAGAAGAAGCGCCGGCUAACUACGUGCCAGCAGCCGCGGUAAUACGUAGGGCGCAAGCGUUAUCCGGAAUUAUUGGGCGUAAAGAGCUCGUAGGCGGUUUGUCGCGUCUGCCGUGAAAGUCCGGGGCUCAACCCCGGAUCUGCGGUGGGUACGGGCAGACUAGAGUGAUGUAGGGGAGACUGGAAUUCCUGGUGUAGCGGUGAAAUGCGCAGAUAUCAGGAGGAACACCGAUGGCGAAGGCAGGUCUCUGGGCAUUAACUGACGCUGAGGAGCGAAAGCAUGGGGAGCGAACAGGAUUAGAUACCCUGGUAGUCCAUGCCGUAAACGUUGGGCACUAGGUGUGGGGGACAUUCCACGUUUUCCGCGCCGUAGCUAACGCAUUAAGUGCCCCGCCUGGGGAGUACGGCCGCAAGGCUAAAACUCAAAGGAAUUGACGGGGGCCCGCACAAGCGGCGGAGCAUGCGGAUUAAUUCGAUGCAACGCGAAGAACCUUACCAAGGCUUGACAUGAACUGGAAAUACCUGGAAACAGGUGCCCCGCUUGCGGUCGGUUUACAGGUGGUGCAUGGUUGUCGUCAGCUCGUGUCGUGAGAUGUUGGGUUAAGUCCCGCAACGAGCGCAACCCUCGUUCUAUGUUGCCAGCACGUUAUGGUG
RNAcentral lists this ribosomal RNA (1046 nucleotides) under Arthrobacter sp. RNAcentral describes it as "bacterial SSU rRNA". It matches the Rfam family "Bacterial small subunit ribosomal RNA", at positions 87 to 1133 of the family's 1533-position model. The record is from RNAcentral. Lineage: Bacteria; Bacillati; Actinomycetota; Actinomycetes; Micrococcales; Micrococcaceae.